This 912-nucleotide ribosomal RNA is filed under the name Exophiala spinifera. Its description in RNAcentral is "LSU rRNA". It matches the Rfam family "Eukaryotic large subunit ribosomal RNA", at positions 36 to 962 of the family's 3401-position model. The record is from RNAcentral. Lineage: Eukaryota; Fungi; Ascomycota; Eurotiomycetes; Chaetothyriales; Herpotrichiellaceae.
UAGCAUAUCAAUAAGCGGAGGAAAAGAAACCAACAGGGAUUGCCUCAGUAACGGCGAGUGAAGCGGCAACAGCUCAAAUUUGAAAUCUGGCCUCUUUGGGGUCCGAGUUGUAAUUUGUAGAGGAUGUUUCGGGUACCGCCUCGGUUUAAAUUUCUUGGAACAGAAUGUCAGAGAGGGUGAGAAUCCCGUCUUGGACCGGCGGUAGGGCCCAUGUGAAACUCCUUCGACGAGUCGAGUUGUUUGGGAAUGCAGCUCAAAAUGGGUGGUAAAUUUCAUCUAAAGCUAAAUAUUGGCCAGAGACCGAUAGCGCACAAGUAGAGUGAUCGAAAGAUGAAAAGAACUUUGAAAAGAGAGUUAAACAGUAUGUGAAAUUGUUGAAAGGGAAGCGCUUGCAACCAGACUUGAGCGCGGCGGUUCCCCCUUCCUUUUGGUUGGGUUACUCCGCCGUGUCCAGGCCAACAUCGGUUCUGGGGGUCGGUUAAAGGCCCGGGGAAUGUACCUACUCCUUCGGGGGUAGACUUAUAGCCCCGGGUGUCAUGCGACCACCCGGGACCGAGGAACGCGCUUCGGCUCGGAUGUUGGCGUAAUGGUUGUCAGCGACCCGUCUUGAAACACGGACCAAGGAGUCUAACAUCUAUGCGAGUGUUUGGGUGUCAAACCCGGAACGCGAAAUGAAAGUGAACGGAGGUAGGAAGCCUUUGGGCUGCACUAUCGACCGAUCCUGAUGUCUUCGGAUGGAUUUGAGUAAGAGCAUAGCUGUUGGGACCCGAAAGAUGGUGAACUAUGCCUGAAUAGGGUGAAGCCAGAGGAAACUCUGGUGGAGGCUCGCAGCGGUUCUGACGUGCAAAUCGAUCGUCAAAUUUGGGUAUAGGGGCGAAAGACUAAUCGAACCAUCUGGUAGCUGGUCCUGCG